UAAUACGGAGGGUGCAAGCGUUAAUCGGAAUUACUGGGCGUAAAGCGCACGCAGGCGGUUUGUUAAGUCAGAUGUGAAAUCCCCGGGCUCAACCUGGGAACUGCAUUUGAAACUGGCAAGCUAGAGUCUCGUAGAGGGGGUAGAAUUCCAGGUGUAGCGGUGAAAUGCGUAGAGAUCUGGAGGAAUACCGGUGGCGAAGGCGGCCCCCUGGACGAAGACUGACGCUCAGGUGCGAAAGCGUGGGGAGCAAACAGGAUUAGAUACCCUGGUAGUCCACGCUGUAAACGAUGUCGAUUUGGAGGUUGUGCCCUUGAGGCGUGGCUUCCGGAGCUAACGCGUUAAAUCGACCGCCUGGGGAGUACGGCCGCAAGGUUA
RNAcentral lists this ribosomal RNA (375 nucleotides) under uncultured Serratia sp. RNAcentral describes it as "bacterial SSU rRNA". It matches the Rfam family "Bacterial small subunit ribosomal RNA", at positions 521 to 896 of the family's 1533-position model. Lineage: Bacteria; Pseudomonadati; Pseudomonadota; Gammaproteobacteria; Enterobacterales; Yersiniaceae. The record is from RNAcentral.